UUUUUAUUUUUUUAUUUUUAUUUUUUUUAAUUUAUGAUAGUCACACACAGAGAGAGAGAGGCAGAGACACAGGCAGAGGGAGAAGCAGGCUCCGUGCACCGGGAGCCCGACGUGGGACUCGAUCCUGGGUCUCCAGGAUCGCGCCCUGGGCCAAAGGCAGGCACCAAACCGCUGCGCCACCCAGGGAUCCCUAAAUUGUACAUUUUAAUGACAGUUUUGGGACUACCCAUGCCAAGCCCAGCUUGGACCAAACUCCAGCCAAGUUAUACUGAGUGAAAGAAAUGAUUGUUUUUGGAAGCCAUGGAGUUUUGAAGUUUGGAAGUAGCUCGGUAGACAGAUCAUUGAGGCACAUAGGUUAGUGACUUUUAAAAUCACACAUGAGAGGAGAAUUAUAGAAGACAUUUCCAGCUGUCUACUCACAUUUUGGAUAUGAUGUGGCAUCAUAGUUGGAGUCUACAAGAACUUUCAUUUCAUGACUGGAAAUGCAGGCAGUCUCCUAACUGCAGAGUGGAAACAGACAUCUGGCUUUGAUACUGCAACUGUAAUUAUUUAUGUUUCACCCUUGAGAGGAUGUGGCUUCAGUAAAUUAUGCACUUGCUUGUUGAUUCUUUGAAAUCCUCUCACAAAAGCAGGGGUUCUAAGUGACACUAACACGGUACCUUUGCGGGAGGGGUGCGGCUGGCCUGUUGUCGGGUGCUGUGCAGUGAGCCUUGGCCCUCCCACUGCCUGCGUGCUCUGGGAAGGCUGCUACUGCAGGUGAGACACCCUGGGCCCUUCCCCAGAGAGCAGUGCUUACACCUCCUGCUUCUUUCCAGCUUCCUCAUUCAAUUAUUGCUAAUAUAGUUUUUUCCUCUUGUUAACUAUGUUCAUACUAAUGAAUUUUGGAGCUUAUUCUUCCUUUCUUAUUCCUUAAGGAAGUCUCUGUUCAAGGGUUUUUUGGUUUUGUUUUCUUUUUUAAGAUGGGGAAAUCAAAAGCAUUUCUCCUUUCCAUCUCUAUGCAUAUACUUCUCUGACCUAAUUCCUACAGAGAAAGACAAAAACAUACCUUUUAAUGCUGGGCCACUGAGAAUACAGAGAAAGAAACACUGCAGAAGAAGACUCAAUUUAAUUCAGAUUCAAUAAAUUUUGAGUUGGAACAGACACACUGAAUAUAUUGCCUGAAUUUUCUGGAUGACACCCAUGGAGGUCAAGUGAUGUGGCUCAUCAGGGCCUGAGCCAGGACUAGAGAGCAGAGACCUGGGCUGGGACUCCAGCCAUGUGGUCUAGACAUCUCAUCAUCAGAGGAGAGAAGGAGGGGACCAGGCCAUGCUCUUCCAGGGCCAGACAAGAUACCUGCAGGGGUGAGAAAUCCCACGAUGGCAAAGCUCCUACAUAUGACAACUGGAAACCCGUCACUGGAAAAGGGCCAGAGACCUGUACUGAGCACACACUCUGGACCAUCUCUAAUGUUUAAGAAGUACCUGGCCCCUAGAGUUGUCUUUAGUGGACGUGGUGCAAAAAUUGGCUACCAUUACCAGAAACAGGAAAACUGUCCCUGGCUUUUUAAAUUACUAUUUCAUAUCCACAUCCUGUUAAUUAACGGUAGUGAUUUUACUGAGGACACAUUCUUCUAGAGCUUAUUUGGAUCCAGCUGCUACCCCAGAGGUAGUGUGUUCAGAACAGAAACCAGAGGCAGACAGGAAAGCUUUGUUGAACUGCCACGAGGUCACAGCCUCUAACCACGGGUUCCCCUUAUGCAGCUGAUCUUUCUAGAAAUCACAGUUCAAAGCAGAUUUUGCCAGUCUGUGGAUGUACCUCCAAUUUCCAUAGCAAACCAAUCUUCAUUCUAAAAUUUUACCACCUGUAGAAGGCUUUAGCCCCAAUAGAAGAGAUAAGUAGUAAUUAGAGAAGUUUUUGUUACAGCUGAAAACCAGGAAGUGGCUUAUUGAGCCUUAAACAAAACAAAACAAAACAAAACAAAAAACAAAACAAAACUUGCCUGAAAAUAUUCAUGCUUUACUGAACGUACUAAAAAGUUUCAUUAUUUCACUACCUCCUUCUGAAAACACACAGGUCAAUUGUUUGUUUUUUAGUACUAAACAGAGGGAGGCUGGGAGGCCACCGAUUCACAGCAUCACACACAGGCCGCCACUAACUGAACCUGUUGAGAGGGCCCAACUGCUCCCUGUACCUGAAGUGCCACAUUGUUCUUGAGUAUAUCCAAAAGCCACCAGGGGCUGAAUUCUUUUUCAGGAGGGAUGAGGUGAGGAAGGUGGAAAGGGUGGUUCUUAACUUCUGGCCCCAUCUGAGCUCUCAGGCAAGACAGGAUCUAGCAGAGAGGAAAAUGGUUGAGGCUGGAAUUUAAAACAAAAGUUUUUGGUUCAGAUGGUAAGGAGGCCCUCAAUAACAGCAGAAUCAGUGUAUCCAGAAGGCAGUGCUGGAAUUCGCCUCAUGAACUAGGGAGUUU
RNAcentral lists this long non-coding RNA (2446 nucleotides) under Canis lupus familiaris (dog). Its description in RNAcentral is "lncRNA (ENSCAFG00845027159.1)". The record is from RNAcentral. Lineage: Eukaryota; Metazoa; Chordata; Mammalia; Carnivora; Canidae.